UGGGGAAUAUUGCACAAUGGGCGCAAGCCUGAUGCAGCAACGCCGCGUGAGGGACGACGGCCUUCGGGUUGUAAACCUCUUUUAGUAGGGAAGAAGCGAAAGUGACGGUACCUGCAGAAAAAGCACCGGCUAACUACGUGCCAGCAGCCGCGGUAAUACGUAGGGUGCAAGCGUUGUCCGGAAUUAUUGGGCGUAAAGAGCUCGUAGGCGGUUUGUCGCGUCUGCUGUGAAAACCCGAGGCUCAACCUCGGGCCUGCAGUGGGUACGGGCAGACUAGAGUGCGGUAGGGGAGAAUGGAAUUCCUGGUGUAGCGGGUGGAAUGCGCAGAUAUGCAGGAGGAACACCGAUGGCGAAGGCAGUUCUCUGGGCCGUAACUGACGCUGAGGAGCGAAAGCGUGGGGAGCGAACAGGAUUAGAUACCCCGCAGGUAGC
RNAcentral lists this ribosomal RNA (432 nucleotides) under uncultured bacterium. RNAcentral describes it as "bacterial SSU rRNA". It matches the Rfam family "Bacterial small subunit ribosomal RNA", at positions 355 to 794 of the family's 1533-position model. The record is from RNAcentral.